Molecule: ribosomal RNA, 206 nt
Filed under: uncultured bacterium
Lineage: Bacteria
Description: partial 16S ribosomal RNA
Rfam family: Bacterial small subunit ribosomal RNA
Source: RNAcentral
AGCGUAGGCGGUUCGAUAAGUCACUUGUGAAAUCUCUGGGCUCAACCCAGAGUCUGCAAGCGAAACUGUCGGGCUUGAGUAUGGGAGAGGUGAGUGGAAUUCCUGGUGUAGCGGUGAAAUGCGUAGAUGUCAGGAGGAACACCUGUGGCGAAAGCGGCUCACUGGACCAUUACUGACGCUGAUGCUCGAAAGCUAGGGAGCAAACA